AUUGAACGCUGGCGGCAGGCCUAACACAUGCCAGUCGAGCGGAGGAAGGGAGCUUGCUCCUGGAUUCAGCGGCGGACGGGUGAGUAAUGCCUAGGAAUCUGCCUGGUAGUGGGGGAUAACGUCCGGAAACGGGCGCUAAUACCGCAUACGUCCUGAGGGAGAAAGUGGGGGAUCUUCGGACCUCACGCUAUCAGAUGAGCCUAGGUCGGAUUAGCUAGUUGGUGGGGUAAAGGCCUACCAAGGCGACGAUCCGUAACUGGUCUGAGAGGAUGAUCAGUCACACUGAAACUGAGACACGGUCCAGACUCCUACGGGAGGCAGCAGUGGGGAAUAUUGGACAAUGGGCGAAAGCCUGAUCCAGCCAUGCCGCGUGUGUGAAGAAGGUCUUCGGAUUGUAAAGCACUUUAAGUUGGGAGGAAGGGCAGUAAGUUAAUACCUUGCUGUUUUGACGUUACCAACAGAAUAAGCACCGGCUAACUUCGUG
This 484-nucleotide ribosomal RNA is filed under the name uncultured bacterium. Its description in RNAcentral is "partial 16S ribosomal RNA". It matches the Rfam family "Bacterial small subunit ribosomal RNA", at positions 30 to 507 of the family's 1533-position model. The record is from RNAcentral.